AAAGGGAGACCUAAUUCAGGUAAAAGACGAAAAAAAAGUAGUCGCUACCAAGAAUCAAUCCCAAAAGGUCGGAGCGAGGCGAAAUUGGCUUUCAAACUAGGUUCUGGGUUCAAACAAGACCUGAAUCAGGAACAAGGGCUAUUAGCUCAGGUGGUCAGAGCGCACCCCUGAUAAGGGUGAGGUCCCUGGUUCGAGUCCAGGAUGGCCCACCUGCACAGGUGGCAAAAACAAGAGAAGCGAGGAAUCAGCACCUUAUCUUACUUAUAUAGUAAGAGAGAAUGCUGGCUCUGAGUAAAGAGUCCAGAGGAACCUUGAAAACUGCAUAGAGCUAGGUGAAAAAGCCAAAAAAGAAGACCGCAAG
RNAcentral lists this transfer RNA (361 nucleotides) under uncultured Microcystis sp. Its description in RNAcentral is "partial 16S-23S ribosomal RNA intergenic spacer". The stretch from base 136 to 209 matches the Rfam family "tRNA". Lineage: Bacteria; Bacillati; Cyanobacteriota; Cyanophyceae; Chroococcales; Microcystaceae. The record is from RNAcentral.